UACAGAGGGUGCAAACGUUUGCUCGGAAUUAUUGGGCGUAAAGCGCGUGUAGGCGGCUUGUUAAGUCGGUCGUGAAAGCCCACGGCUCAACCGUGGAAGUGCAACCGAAACUGGCAAGCUUGAGUUCUGAAGAGGAUGGCGGAAUUCCCAGUGUAGAGGUGAAAUUCGUAGAUAUUGGGAGGAACAUCGGUGGCGAAGGCGGCCAUCUGGGGAAGCGACUGACGCUGAGACGCGAAAGCGUGGGUAGCAAACAGG
This 255-nucleotide ribosomal RNA is filed under the name uncultured bacterium. Its description in RNAcentral is "partial 16S ribosomal RNA". It matches the Rfam family "Bacterial small subunit ribosomal RNA", at positions 524 to 776 of the family's 1533-position model. The record is from RNAcentral.